AACGAACGCUGGCGGCAUGCCUAACACAUGCAAGUCGAACGAGACCUUCGGGACUGGUGGCGCACGGGUGCGUAACGCGUGGGAACCUGCCCUUAGGUUCGGAAUAACUUCCCGAAAGGGGUGCUAAUACAGGAUAAUGUCUUCGGACUACUUAUUUAUCUUCUUUGGAUGUGCCCGAGUUGGAAUAGCUAGUUGGUAGUUUAAAAGCCUACCAAGGCGACGAUCCAUAGCUGGUAUGAGAGGAUGAUCAGCCACACUGGGACUGACACAAGGCCCAGACUCCUACGGGAGGCAGCAAUGGGGAAUAUUGGACAAUGGGCGAGAGACUGAUCCAGCAGGGCCGCAUGAGUGAUGUAGGCCUUAGGGUUGUAAAGCUCUUUUGAACGGGAAGAUAAUGACAGUACCGAGAGAGUAAGCUCCGGCUAACUCCGUG
This 433-nucleotide ribosomal RNA is filed under the name uncultured bacterium. RNAcentral's name for it is "partial 16S ribosomal RNA". It matches the Rfam family "Bacterial small subunit ribosomal RNA", at positions 29 to 507 of the family's 1533-position model. The record is from RNAcentral.